This 2964-nucleotide long non-coding RNA is filed under the name Homo sapiens (human). RNAcentral's name for it is "HSALNT0258865". The record is from RNAcentral. Lineage: Eukaryota; Metazoa; Chordata; Mammalia; Primates; Hominidae.
CAAAGUGCCAGGAUUAUAGGUGUGAGCCACAGCACCUGGUCCCUUUUUCUUUUUUAUGUCUAUUUGGGUCCCAUACACUCAACAGCUCAACAGAAGAAAGGGCUGUGGCUGGACAGAGUGGGCCAUGCCGCUUGCCUCUUACAGGAACUAUCGCCUUAAUCACUUUCUUCUUGCUUUUAAUUUAUUUUUUGAGUAACAUUAAACAUUCACACACAUACUCACAUACUUAGAAAAUUUCUUCAACAGCAGAAAAGGAUAUACGGGGAAAGGUGAGUUUCCCUCCCGCGCCAACGCCCAGAGCCCCUUCCCAGAGACAGCCGCGGAGAAUAGGUUCAUGGGUGACCCUUCCCCAAGUCUUUUCCUCACUCAGCAUCCAGAUGGGUCCUUCGGAAAUGUGACACAGAUUACGGCACAACCUCUGCCCUCCAGGGGCUUCCCAUCAUUCUCCGGAUAUCAUUCUACAUCCUACUGUGGCGACAAAGCCCUACGUGAGCUGGACCCAGUCGCCUGCCCCUGCCUCAUUCCCACGGCUCUCCCCCACCCUGUCCCCUUGCAGCCUCUCUGGCCUCCCCGGCCUCCUCUGACACCCCAUGGCUCAUCUCAUGACUUGCUGUACCUCUGCCUAGAAUGUCCCUAGAGCCUCCGACUCUCCUGCUGGAGUUCUCUCCUUAAAUACCACCUCCUCCGAGGGCCUUCCUGGGCUGCCUGCGCCGCCUUCCUUCCUCUGUUCUCCCAAUCUGAGGCUUCCUACCCGACUCCAGCCCACAGCCCCAGGCUUUGUGGUAAUGUAACUGUUGUAAACUUAAAAUUCUGGCCGGGCGUGGUGGCUCAUGCCUGUAAUCCCAGCACUUUGGGAGUUCGAGGCGGGCAGAUCACUUGAGGCCAGGAGUUCAAGACCAGCCUGGCCAACAUGGCCAAACCCCGUCUCUACUAAAAAUACAAAAAUUAGCUGGGCGUGGUGGAGUGCGCCUGUAGUCCCAGUUACUCUGGAGGCUGACGUGGGAGGAUGGCUUGAACUCGGGAGGCAGAGGGUGCAGUGAGCUGAGAUCACACCACUGCACUCCAGCCUGGGUGACAUAGCAAGACUCUGUCUCCCAAAAAAAAAAAAAAAAUCCUAAGCCCCCCCAGUGACUGAACAGACUCCCUCUUGGCCAAGGGGACCCCAGAAAAACCUUAAAACUUGAGUUCCUGGCCAUGAUAGGAUGGGAGGUCAGACAUGCCUCAUUAUACGUCUUUACCUUUUACAGUUCAGACACUGACCAGCAUUCAUGUUAAAAUAGAGAUCAUAAGACUGACAGAACGGACCCUUUAUGGAAGUAAGAUACCAAAUUAUAAAUAGAACUAAGGUCAUGCCAGGCAAGUGCAGAUAAACAAGCACUGGCCUCAGGAUAAGCAGUGUUGAAACAUUUGGAAGCUCCUGCAGAUGCUGAAUAACUGACCUCCAGCCUCUGUUCCACCAGCCACAACUACAGCUUUGAUUGGAGAAGAGACUGAUUUCAGCCACUUUCUCCUGGUAUAAAAGCCUGCCGUUGGUGGAAAAGGAAAAGGUGGUCCAGUUAGACAAGAUGCCACCGGCUUCUGAAACCAGACAUCUUUGAAAACCCACCCAUCUACCUGCAGGAAAAGAGACAGGGUUUCACUAUGUUGGCCAGGAUGUUCAACAACUUCUGCCUUCAAGCGAUCUUCCCUCCUGGGCCUCCCCAAGUGCUGAGUUUACAAGCAUCAGCCACCACACCCAGCCUAUGACAUUUUCUUCAUUAUGGCUGGUACUGCCUCAUGAAAAGGGGGUUCCUCAUGCUGGAUCUGAACAACCCAGCACAGGCAAGUCUGGGGAGCAAGGCAGGAGCCUGCAUGUGGACUCAAAGGACCGGCACCCGAAACAAAGCAGUGGCUGGCACAGGUGGACAAACCAGGCAAGAAAAGCAACUGUCCUUCGGAGCAGAGUCCACGUGAUGGGAAGAAACAGACACAGUCUCACUCUGUUGCCCAGGCUGAAGUCAACGGCAUGAUCUCAGCUCACUGCAACCUCCACCUCCUGGGUUCAAGCAAUUCUCGUGCCUCAGCCUCCCAAGUAGCUUGGAUUACAGGUGUGUGCCACUAUGCCUGGCUAAUUUUGGCAUUUUUAUUAAAGACGGGGUUUCACCAUGUUGACCAAGCUGGUCUUGAACUGCUGACCUUAGGUGAUCCAACCACCUCGGCCUCCCAAAGUGCUGGUAUUACAGGUGUGAGCCACCUUGCCAAGCCAUCCCUCACCUUUUAAUAUUUCUUUUUUUCUUCUCUCUAGCCUUCUUUUGAGAUUCAGUUCGUUUAUUUCUUUUCUUUCUCAUUUCAUUUAUUCCUCCACUGACUUGGAAACUGUAUGUUCUGUUUCCAUUAUUUAGUGGUUAUUUUAAACACUGUAAGAUGGUAGGAGUUCCUCAAUGAGUUACUCCCUCCCUCCCUUCCUUCUUCCCUUUAAUACCACACAUCAAGGAAAACCCAACCCAAGUAGCUUCGAACUAUGUGAAUCUAGGGCAGCAGUUUUCAAAGCACUGUCUGUGAGGUCAAAACUAUUCAUAAUGCUAUUAAAAUGCUGAUUGCUCUCUUCACCUUCAUUAUCUCACAAAUAAUGUGCACAGUGGAGGUUUUGAGAGCUACGUGACGUGAUAUCAUGACGGAAUGAAUGCAGACCAGAUAGGAAAAUACAGCUGUCUUCUAUUAAGCCAGGCAUUAAAGAGAUCUGCAAAAAUGUAAAACAAUGCCACUGUCACGAAUUUUUUGAAGAUAUAGUUGUUUUUUCUAGGAACGUGUCAUUUAUAUUAACAUGUAAUGGUUUUAUGGUUAUUAUUAUUAUAAGAUAAGUUAAUACACAUUUUUAAAUUUUUCUGUUUUAACUUUGUUUUUUUUUUGUUUUUUUUUUUUGUUUUUUUUGAUACGCAGUUUCACUCUUGUUGCCAAGGCUGGAGUACAGUGGUGUGAUCUCGG